CAUAACCUUAUACACAAGAUUUAAAAUAACCCCUGGGCACAUGUGGGCCCAACCCAGAGAUAGCCCUUCCUGAAAUGACUGGAGCCAAGAGCCUGUCACGCUCGCGGUAUUCAGUGCAAGGUCUGAUCGCGUCUUCUGUCACUCAAGGCCUGAGGGCGCGGAGCCUGGAGCUCUAUCCAUUAAGGGCGCUGGGGUGGGAACUGUCCAAUCAGGUUCACAGUCAGAGAGGAAGGGGUGGCUCCCGGUACCUGGCGGGGCCUUUGUCUCUUGCUCCAGCCAGAGCUCGAGGUUAGCUCUUCACUGCCCUGUGUCUUCUUUCCAAGGGUCUCGGUGAUUCGGCCACAGCCUCAGCCUCCAUCACGCGGUGAACUGAUGGUGCUGGAAGAUUCAUAGACUCCAGGACAUUCCUGAAGCCGAGAAAAGGUUAAGUAGGGUCUGGCCUGGAAUACUCUCCUAGAUGAAGAUAGCCCAACCAUGAGCCACCUUCGAAGCAGAUGAGAUGAAAUUAAAGCUCUUCAACUCCUAAAGGCCCAGAGACUAUCACAAAAGAGGUCAGAAAUCCUGAAGGUCACUUUCUGACAAACUCAGGAACCCCAGGUUUAUCUUGGAGCCUCAAGAGGAGAUAAAUUCACCCAACUCAGAGUGAGGCUGGCUGGGGGAGCCUGGGCUCCUCUGUCCUCCCCGAGGUGGCAGUGGCUGAUGUCUGCUCAGGUGUGAGGGGGUGCUGCCAUCCUCUGGGCCUGAGGCUGCCUGGCCCAGCCCCUCCUAACUCCCUGGACUCUUCCACGGUGUCUUCAGGCCCCUACACCAUCCUUUGUGUAAGGGGAGGUGGCAGCAUAGAGAUGAUGGGGGAACUGCCCCAUGUGCCAAGGAAAGCUCACCCAUCUGUGCGAAAUGCUCUGGUUGACAUUGGGUUUUUGCGCACCAAACUGGGCCAUGACCAAGGUUUAUAACCAAGGUGUCUCCGGGCAUGGGCACUUUGGCUCUUGUAGAAACCACCCCACUGGCAGGAGACGGCGGUAGCUGUGGUCAUUGAAAACAAGCUCCUGCUGAUAAAUCUCAGACACCAGACACAGAAGAACCUGGAGACCCUGCCAGAGAGCUUGAGGCAAAUGGAUGGACUGUUGGAGCAGCUGAGGGUGAAGCAGCACAAACUCCUCAAAGUUGAAUAGCAAAGCAGCCACCAGAGAUGGACAAGAAAAAUGAACAAAGAAAAUUAGCAGAAAUCAAAGGCAGAUGCUAAAGCAGUGCAAAAUCAUUCAUUCAAUGAUAGAAAUGAAAUUGAUGAAGGAGUCUGGAAAAUGAAUGACAGAAGAGAAUUAAACAGCAGUGACCAUAGUAAGGUCCUGACGAUUCUGGUCCACUGAAUCCCAUCAUCCCUAAGACAGUAAAUAUCAUCACAGUCACCACCAGCAAGUUACCACCACAGCAUUUCCUGUUUGUUCCAAAAUGAAUAAAGAUGAUUCUCAUCACAAGGGCAAAUACAAAGUAGUUUAGUAUGUUUUUAACUAAACUAAAGGUGUUUGGUUUACUUUUUCUAAGUUCUCAUAAUUCUGAAAAUGCAGUUGACACUUGUGUGGCUCAUGAUGUUUUUAAUAGUCUAAUGCUACUUGAAUUGUUCAAAAACCACUGUAUUUUAAAUUAAGAUGAAUAAACGGUCCUUUGAAAACUGGCACAAGGCAAGGAUGCCCUCUGUCACCACUCCUAUUCAACACAGUAUUGGAAGUUCUGGCCAGGGCAAUCAGGCAAGGGAAAGCAAUACAGCGUAUCAAAAUAGGAAGAGAGGAAGUCAAAUUGUCUCUGUUUGCAGAUGACAUGAUUGCAUAUUUAGAAAACCCCAUCUUCUCAGCCCAAAACCUCCUUAAGCUGAUAAGCAACUUCAGCAGUCUCAGAAUACAAAAUCAAUGUGCAAAAAAUCACAAGCAUUCCUAUACAUUAAUAACAGACAAACAGAGAGCCAAAUCAUGAGUGAACUCCCACUCACAAUUGCUAGUAAGAGAAUAAAAUACCUAGGAAAAUACAGCUUACAAGGGACAUGAAGGACCUCUUCAAGGAGAACUACAAACCACUGCUCAAGGAAAUGAGAAGAGACAAACAAAUGGGAAAGCAUUCCAUGCUCAUGGAUAGGAAGAAUCAAUAUCGUGAAAAUGGCCAUAGUGCCCAAAGUAAUUUUAUAGAUUCAAUGCUAUCCUCAUUAAGCUACCAUUGAUUUUCUUCACAGAAUUGGAAAAAACUACUUUAAACUUCAUAUGGAACCAAAAAAGAGCCUGCACAACCAAGACAAUACUGGGCAAGAAGAACAAAGCUGGAAACAUCAGGCUACCUGGCUUCAAACUAUACUACAAGGCUACAGGAACCAAAACAGCAUGGUACUGGUACCAAACAGAUAUGUAGACCAGUGGAACAGAACAGGGCCUCAGAAAUUGAUAUCACUCUGUCACCAUCAAAAAAUACUUAUUUAGUGUCAAAUCCUACUGUGAAAUAGCAGAACUGUGGGAUUUGUAAAGUGGAAAUGCAGAAUUCAAAACAGAGAUAUAUACCAAUGGAACAGAGCAGAGGCCUCAGAAAUACCACCACACGGCUACAACAAUCUGAUCUUUGACAAACCUGACACACACAAGCAAUGAGAAAAAGAUUCCCUAUUUAAUAAAUGGUGUUGGGAAAACUGGCUAGCCAUAUGUAGAAAAUUGAAACUGGACCCCUUUCUUACCCGUUUUACAAAAAUCAACUCAAGAUGUAUCAAAGACUUAAAUGUAAGACCUAAGACCAUAAAAAUCCUAGAAGAAAACCUGGGCAGUACCAUUCAGGACAUAGGCAUGGGCAAAGCCUUCAUGUCCAAAACACCAAAAGCAGUGGCAACAAAAGCCAAAAUUGACAAAUGGGAUCUAAUUAAAUUAAAUAGCUUCUGCACAGCAAAAGAAACUCAUCAGAGUGAACAGGCAACUACAGAAUGGGAGAAAAUUCUUGCAAUCUAUCCAUCUGACAAAAGGCUAAUAUCUAGAAUCUACAAAGAAUUUAAACAGUUUACAAGAAACAAACAAACUGCCCCAUCAAAAAAUGGGCAAAGAUAUGGACAGACACUUCUCAAAAGAAAACAUUUAUGCAGCCAACAGACACAUGAAAAAAUGCUCAUCACUGGUCAUUAGAGAAAUGCAAAUCAAAACCACAAUGAGAUACCAUGUCACACCCGUUAGAAUGGCAAUCAUUAAAAAGUCAGGAAACAACAGUGCUGGAGUGGAUAUGGAGAAAUAGGAACACUUUUACACUGUUGGGAGUGUAAAUUAGUUCAACCAUUGUGGAAAACAGUGUGGCAAUUCCUCAAGGAUCUAGAACUAGAAAUAACAUUUGACCAAUUCCAUUACUGAGUAUAUACCUAAAGGAUUAUAAAUCAUUCUAUGAUAAAGACACAUGCACACGUCUGUUUAUUGUGGCACUAUUCACAAUAGCAAAGACUUGAAACCAACCCAAAUGUCCAUCAAUGAUAGACUGGGUAAAGAAAAUGUGGCACAUAUACACUGUGGAAUACUGUGCAGGUGUAAAAAAGGAUGAGUUCAUGUCCUUUGCAGGGACAUGGAUGAAGCUGGAAACCAUCAUUCUCAGCAAACUAGCACAAGAUCAGAAAACCAAACGCUGCAUGUUCUCACUCAUAAGUGGGAGUUGAACAGUGAGAACACAUGGACACAGGGAGGUGAACAUCACACACUGGGGCCUGUCAGGUGCUGGGGGGCUAAGGGAGGGAUAACAGGAAAAAUACCUAAUGUAGGUGACGGGUUGAUGGUUGCAGCAAACCACCAUGGCACAUGUGUACACGUAUGUAAUAAAACUGAUGUUCUUCACAUGUAACCCAGAACUUAAAGUAUAAUAAUAAAAAGAAGAAUAAAUAUUUGUUUUAUAUAUUUAAAGCUUAGAAUCACAAAUAAUGCUUCUGUUUAUGAUUUGAAAACUUCAAAGUUUGGUUUUCCUUCUGUACAUACACAAAACAUUGUAUUGUGCUGAAAUAUUUGUUUUUUAAAGUGGCAGUCAUAGUUCCUGUCUGUCCGGAUAUAUAUAUGUAUAUAUGUUAAGCAUAACAUAAGAAAGAAAUUUCAUUAGCUGGGCAUGAUGGCUCACUCCUGUAAUCCCAGAACCUUGGGAGGCUGAGGUGGGUGGAUUGCCUGAGGUCAGGAGUUUGAGACCAGCCUGGCCAACAUAGUGAAACCUCGUCUCUACUAAAAAUACAAAAAAUUAGGUGGGCGUGGUGGCAGGCACCUGUAAUCCCAGCUACUAGGGAGGCUGAGGCAAGAGAACGGCUUGAACCUGGGAGUCAGAGGUUGACGUGAGCCGAGAUCACACCAUUGCACUCCAG
This 4345-nucleotide long non-coding RNA is filed under the name Homo sapiens (human). Its description in RNAcentral is "PREDICTED lncRNA (TCONS_00140865)". The record is from RNAcentral. Lineage: Eukaryota; Metazoa; Chordata; Mammalia; Primates; Hominidae.